UACGUAGGGUGCAAGCGUUGUUCGGAAUUACUGGGCGUAAAGCGCGUGCAGGCGGUUCGGGAAGUCGGUUGUGAAAGCCCCGAGCUCAACUCGGGAAUUGCGUCCGAAACUGCCGGACUGGAGUCCCGGAGAGGAAGGCAGAAUUCCCAAUGUAGGGGUGAAAUCCGUAGAUAUUGGGAGGAAUACCGGCUGCGAAGGCGGCCUUCUGGACGGUGACUGACGCUGAGACGCGAAAGCGUGGGGAGCAAACAGG
This 253-nucleotide ribosomal RNA is filed under the name uncultured bacterium. Its description in RNAcentral is "partial 16S ribosomal RNA". It matches the Rfam family "Bacterial small subunit ribosomal RNA", at positions 524 to 776 of the family's 1533-position model. The record is from RNAcentral.